CAUUUGUAUCCACAAACUCGUUUAUUCUCUCUCCUUAUCUUCUAUUCUCCAUUACAUCUUCAUCUAGAUCUGCAGAAAUAGCUCGUCUUCCAUUAAAACUCUACUGCCGAUGAUACUCUACCAAGUACAGCUUCAGUUGUCUGGAAGCACUAUUAUGAGAGAUUUUUCUAAGCGUGAUUAACUUAGGGUAUCAUAGAACGCAUUUGUGAUUAUGAGGAUUUGGUUGUCUUGAUUCAACUGAAUUAGGUUGUCUUGUGAAUUGAAUUUAGAUUGUGUUGUAAACUGAAUCCAGGUUUUAAUGAAGAAUUGAUCUUCGCUGAAGAAUUAUGAUUGUGUUCCCGAUUUUGUUUUGAAAUGUAAACUGAAACAUCUAUUUUUCCAAGGUGGCUGGUGUUGUUGGUAAAUGACCUGCUCUUUUAAGUCAAUUUACAAAGGUGAUCUUAUUCAUACCAUUAUUGCUGCUAGAGCUAAUUUGGAUUUUUUCUCCUGUUGGUAACAAUGGUAAAACAAAGAUUGUGGUUUACAAAAACUAUGAUGAAAUGAAGUAUGUUGUAAGUACAGGAUCAAAUGCUUACAUCUCUAAGCCAUUAGCAGAAACGUCAGAUGAAGACCUUAUGUAAGCUUUUUGAGACUGGUGUUUCGUAACUGGAAUGCGGUGUGUCAUAUAAGAUGAGACAGUUUCCUUUUGCAAUGAAGUCGUAGCGCCGAAUACUCUUGGUUUAUUGAUAUGUUGUAUAUAGGCGAUGAAGUUGAUGCUCAAUUAGACUCGAGGAGGUCAACAUUGAUGGAGCUAGUUCAUAUUGAAUGCCAACUCCAAGGUACUAUAUUUUCAGAGUAUGGUGGUGCAUCCUUUGGUGGCACUACUAAUUAGCUUGUGCGCAUUAUCGCUGAACCGGGGAUGGUUACAACUGAUCUUCUUAUGUCUGGGGCCAUGAUGAAGCAGGUUAAGUUUUUCAUUAACAUCCUGGCAGAACCAGCUGAAGUGGUUACAAAAUGUUCUGUUCCCAACAUCAGAUCCAUCCCUACUUAUGAAGCCCACUUACAUUCGUUUCCUCACUGGGUUGAAACAAAACUCCCAGAUAUCUCAGUUGGAUGUUUGAGAUGGCAAAGAAGCAAGUCUCGAAAGGUACCCAAGGAGCACACAUCAACCUCAGUGCAUCGAAUAUAUUGGACCGGGAGAGUUUAAUUCUAAUGGGAUGCCUCUGGUUCUUUGUUGGCUUCUUGCUUCGACGAUGGAAUAUUGCAGUAGAAGCUGCAGUUAAAAUUCUUGAAUGGACACAAUCAAUAUUCAUCAAUGGAAGUUAGAUAUUGAAUCAGUUUUUCGACAACAUAAGAUGAUGCUUGUCCUACCGGUGAUGAAAAGCAUUCUGUUAAAUUUCAGCUUUGCAUUCGAUGAGCUUGGUCUUCUAAAAUGGAUUCAGAUUAAAUUUUGUAUCAAUAUGUUGUCAUCUUUGUAUGAUUAUUCUUUGGGUCAUGAUAAACUAGGACCACUAUCCAUGUAUAUAUCUCAAGAUAGAACAUUGUACGUCUCUAACUGUGAUACUUGAAGUUCACAUUGUGAAUCGUUUUUUUUUUAUAUAUAAAAUUCUUUGAUGAA
Molecule: long non-coding RNA, 1597 nt
Organism: Papaver somniferum (opium poppy)
Lineage: Eukaryota; Viridiplantae; Streptophyta; Magnoliopsida; Ranunculales; Papaveraceae
Exons: 11
Source: RefSeq, a predicted model, not a curated record